Molecule: long non-coding RNA, 205 nt
Filed under: Lathyrus oleraceus (garden pea)
Lineage: Eukaryota; Viridiplantae; Streptophyta; Magnoliopsida; Fabales; Fabaceae
Description: Pisum sativum (pea) long non-coding RNA (PSAT_LNC004793)
Source: RNAcentral
AUUCUAUAGUUCAGUAUCUGCUGUCAUGGAUGAAUGCCAUAACAUCCAGUUUGACAUUCAGUAAAUCCUGUAUUAGCUAAUCCUGCAGCAUACUACUCAAGCAUGUCAUGACAUCAGUCAGGACAUCAGAGUACAAUUAGUGUUUUAACACAAAAUGCAGCCAAUCAAAAACAUCUACAAAGAUGAUGCAAAUGCUCAUUUCCUC